RNAcentral lists this transfer RNA (72 nucleotides) under Marmota monax (woodchuck). RNAcentral's name for it is "tRNA.Ala". Lineage: Eukaryota; Metazoa; Chordata; Mammalia; Rodentia; Sciuridae. The record is from RNAcentral.
UGGGGAGUGGCACAGUGAUAGAGAAUUUGCCUAGCAUAUGCAAAACCCUGGGUUCAAUGCCCAGCACUACAA